Molecule: ribosomal RNA, 253 nt
Filed under: uncultured bacterium
Lineage: Bacteria
Description: partial 16S ribosomal RNA
Rfam family: Bacterial small subunit ribosomal RNA
Source: RNAcentral
UACAGAGGUCCCAAGCGUUGUUCGGAUUCAUUGGGCGUAAAGGGUGCGUAGGCGGCGCGGUAAGUCGGGUGUGAAAUUUCGGAGCUUAACUCCGAAACUGCAUUCGAUACUGCGGUGCUUGAGGACUGGAGAGGAGACUGGAAUUUACGGUGUAGCAGUGAAAUGCGUAGAUAUCGUAAGGAAGACCAGUGGCGAAGGCGGGUCUCUGGACAGUUCCUGACACUGAGACACGAAGGCCAGGGGAGCAAACGGG